GACGAACGCUGGCGGCGUGCCUAACACAUGCAAGUCGAAACGGACAAAAAACUUCGGUUUUUUGUUAGUGGCGGACGGGCGAGUAACGCGUGAGUAACCUGCCCCUUCAGUGGGGAAUAACGACUGGAAACGGUCGCUAAUACCGCAUAAUAUAUCGUGAUGGCAUCAUCGUGAUAUCAAAGGAGUAAUUCGCUGAAGGAUGGACUCGCGUCCGAUUAGCUAGUUGGUGAGGUAAUGGCUCACCAAGGCGACGAUCGGUAGCCGAACUGAGAGGUUGAUCGGCCGCAUUGGGACUGAGACACGGCCCAGACUCCUACGGGAGGCAGG
Molecule: ribosomal RNA, 327 nt
Filed under: uncultured Bacillota bacterium
Lineage: Bacteria; Bacillati; Bacillota
Description: bacterial SSU rRNA
Rfam family: Bacterial small subunit ribosomal RNA
Source: RNAcentral